Long non-coding RNA from Carassius carassius (crucian carp), 826 nucleotides. RefSeq lists it as uncharacterized. NCBI's taxonomy places the organism in Eukaryota, Metazoa, Chordata, Actinopteri, Cypriniformes, Cyprinidae. The transcript is spliced from 2 exons. The record is from RefSeq and is a predicted model, not a curated record.
GGAACAACAGCAACUCAGCCACAAUGCGGCAGGCCACGUGUGCAGAAGUACACUUACAUCACCAAGUGCAAUGCAAAGUGUCGGAUGCAGUUGUGUAAAGCACGCUGCUACUGGCUUCUAGAGCAGUGGAGAUGAGUUCUCUGGAGUGACCAAUCACAUUUCUCUGUCUGGCAAUCUGAUGGACGAUUUUGGUUUUUGGCAGUUGCCAGGAGAACAGUACUUGCCUGACUAUUGUGCCAGGUAGGAACUUGACUGGCCUGCACAGAGUCCUGACCUCAACCUGAUAAAAUACCUUUGGGAUGAAUUAGAGUGGAGACUGUGAGCCAGGCCUUCUCGUCCAACAUCGGUGCCUAAACUCACAAAUGCGCUUAUUGAAGAAUGGUCAAAAAGUCCCAUAAACACAUUCUUAAACCAAUUCCUAAAACAAGUCCAUAUUAAACCCUACAAAGUAAGAAUAGGAUGUCAUUUAAAGUUCAAGUGCAUGUAAAAGCAGGUGUUCCAGAACAUUUGGCAAUAAAGUGUGUCAUGCAUAUGAAAAGAAAACAUGGCAGAUGUGUUAUUUAUUAAAUUAAAUUACUAUAGACGUUUACAUAAUGAUAAAAUUAUGAUCUGCUAUUGAUAUCUUCACUUAGAGGCAUUUAUUAAAUGAAGCUGAUAUUUUGUUUAAUAUAUCAUAUAUUAUUUUAAUAAAUAGAUCUUUAUUUGUGAUUGCUUUUCAGUUUUGUAUUCCAAAGUAAAGCAGUUGUUUAAUGAUUGAUGCCCUGCUGACAAACACAUUUCUGCUGACUAAUUAGUUGUCAUUAAAUCAGUGUGCUCAUGCAAAGUA